GAGAAAGGUCGUUUCACAGCACCCUGUCCUUUUUGAUAAAAGACGGGAUGAUUUUAUGAACGAUGAAUUAAAGGACAACGUCUGGCAGUCCAUUGUCCAGCUUGGUGGCUGCGGUGAGAGUGUGCUUUGAGAGUUCAUCGUAACGCAGACGUGUCAAAGACGAUGAAGUCUCUGGGUGUUGCAGUUUAAAGGCCCGAGCAGAUCCAAACACACGAUGGCUGGAGCCUCGAGGCUGGGACUCGGUGUUGGUUCGCAAUGAAAGCACUGUUGUACAGGUUGACAGGGGUUUGGCUACACGGGGCCAGCAUUUGUUCAGGUGCGUGUCAAACCUGAAACCGCAGUGUCGGCGUGAUGGGUGACAACAAAAGACACCACAGCUGUGUGUGCCACAGCCCGGCGAUGAUUGGCGGAUCACAAAGGUCCUCGUUCGUAAUUGGCUGCAGCCGAGGGUGUUCGGCUUUUAAAGGGCCAAGAUGGCGAUUGCCGGCGAGCGAGUAGGCAUACCUCACCUUCCUCCUCUCCCAACCGGCCACACGUUGUAGUAUUGUAGUAUUGUCGGAUUGUUUUGAACCAUCAUUUUGUGUAGAUUGUUGAAUAGUAAGGGUGGACUGCCAGUUUUGUUACUCACCCUUUUUCUCCUGUUUAUUUAGUUAGGGAGAUAAGCUUUUUGUCAUUUGUUUCUUAUUAUUUGGUCAGGUGAUUUACUUACUCCCUUGACAGGAUUGUUUUGUUUGUUAUUUUGGCCUUGGGUCCACCCUGACGUUAUUAUUUCACUCACUUCUGUUAUUCAAUUAUUGUAAUAAAUCCACAUUA
This is a long non-coding RNA of Epinephelus moara (kelp grouper), 813 nucleotides long. RefSeq lists it as uncharacterized. The transcript has 4 exons. The record is from RefSeq and is a predicted model, not a curated record. Lineage: Eukaryota; Metazoa; Chordata; Actinopteri; Perciformes; Serranidae.